GGCGGCGUACCCAAGUGGACUAAGGGAGCGGAUUGCAAAUCCGUCACCGUGGGUUCGAAUCCCACCGCCGCCU
Molecule: transfer RNA, 73 nt
Filed under: Planctomycetota bacterium
Lineage: Bacteria; Pseudomonadati; Planctomycetota
Description: tRNA-Cys
Rfam family: tRNA
About the family: Transfer RNA (tRNA) molecules are approximately 80 nucleotides in length. Their secondary structure includes four short double-helical elements and three loops (D, anti-codon, and T loops).
Source: RNAcentral